CUGCCAGAGACCCGAUUCUAACUCUUCAGUUAUUUUAGUCCGCGUUUCUCAGAAAAGAAACUCCACACGUUUUUGAUAUUUCUGUCAUCUUGGCUUGUACACAUUCAGUUGGGCAAACUUUUUAAUAGAAAAAUGGCAGCAGUAAAAGGUUCAAAACAUCAGUCACUCAUUGAAAGGGAGAAGCUCAUUUUUAUUUUUAAUAAUUACUCUAAAUAAUAUUAAUAUUGUUAUUAUUAUAUUAUUAAUAAUAAUUGAUCACAACAAAUGAAUUCCCAACUAAAUAACAAUAACAAAAACAAGCAAAUGAAUAUUUCUUGGCUAUUUGUAAGCCAAGUGCAAAAUGUAUAAGGAAGCUACUGUGUCUGUGUGAAUAACCUUGGUCUGCUGUGUUUUUGGCUGACACUUUCAUUCUAUCCACAGGAAAACACUAACCUUCUAUUUUUUGAAUAUUUAAUAUUUCUAUUUUAAGCCAAAUCACUGAUAAAACAAAAGUGCUUUAGAAUGGUAUGUAUUUGGUGGCAAGGUACGUAUUUUGUGGAUUUUCAGUAUUCUUACUUCAAAGAUAAGUGAACUUUCAUGGGUUUUAUUUAAUUCCUAGUGUCCCAGGUGUAAUUGUAAAUUUGAAGUUUUAUAUUGGUGGACUAGAUAUAUAUUAUUUAAAUGCAAGAAUGUGUGUUAGUAGAUGCCACAUAACCAUGGACCCUUUUUGCAAACUGUGAUGAUGUAUUUCCAGAGUUAUUAGCAUUGUAAAUCUAGCAAUUUUUAUAUUUUCAUUUUUUUUUAAAUUAAUGUGCAUUUAUAACACUAUAAAUUAUUGGCAAAUUACAGAAAAAUGGUUAAUGCUGCUUUUUAGUACAACGGCUGAGGAAGUGACAGCUAAUUUUACUAUCUUCUGACCAACGUAACCGAUCUUCUAAUAUUUUUUUCCUGUUUGGCAAAGUGUAGAAAUUUUUCUAUUGAUGACUCAUGAGAUGAGAUUUGUUGUAAUUUCCAUUCACCACUAUAUACUUUAGCUUCUGAGAACCGUGGAAAUGUGAAAUAGUUCCAUACUAUCUGGGCCCAAAAAGCAUUUUUCUUCAUUGAUGGCCAUUGAAAAUUAUGUGAAUAGUCUGUAUAUCUCCAUUAUUUCAUUAUAGGCAAUGUUUACAUGUGCCUGUUUUUUUCUGGAAAGCUUUUAUAAGCGUAAUAUGGACAUAUUGUUCUCUGCUGAUUUUCGUGCCGACUCCCAAGGAUUUGGGAUUGUUUGCGUUCUUUUGUUGCCAUCAGCUAAUCGAGUCAAGAGUGAUUAGACACAAGGCAUUUUGGGGCUCAAGUGAUUGGUCCAAAAAAUAAGUAGCCGAACUGAGCACCCGUGAUCAAAGAUGGCAGAUUUCAAAUUGAUUUUAAGAUUUGAGACGGCAGAUUUCAAAUUGCAUACAUUUUGGGAAUCUUGUGCCAGCUGAGAUGAAUGGAAAUGCUAAUGGAUCCUGGUAUUUUCGGACAAUUUUAAUUGGCUCACUUCACAGACAGAGAGCAAGACAGGCAGACAGGGAUAACUGAGUCAAGAGUAGCUUUUAGAGAAGCAAAUACAUUAAGGGAUUAUGGUAUAAAAAGUACAAGAUGUAACUGGGAAAAUUAUGGAAGAGGAAGUAAUUGAGAGAGCAAUGACGGACGUGCGUGCCUGCUUUUUCUAGUCGUUUCCAGAGGCGCUUGGACUGUUGCUGGGGGCAACCUCUGUUCGGUCACCUUACGGCAGGGAGGAAGCAUUGUGUGAGCAAAGGUUUCUAUUAAUAGGAACAGCGGGAGAGAGGACAAGAGCGUACAGGCGUGUGAGUGUGUGUGUGAGCAAGCAUACAUGCAUGUGUGAGUGAGCGAGCGCAAGGUACGCGAGGAGGAGGAAGCAGAUUGUGAGAAUGAGACAGUUACUAGAGAGAGCUGGAUGGAGGGAUGCAGGGAGAGCGUAGCGGAGGAGGGAGCGAUGGCGUGAUGACGCUGUGCGUGGCGUCAGAGCGAUAAGAAUAGAGCCGGUGCGUGCAGGGCUGCUGAGACAUCGCUUUUAAUACCCACAGCUACUAUCUUGCUCCCUGAACAAUGUGUGUGUGUGUGUGUGUGUGUGUGUGUGUGUGUGUGUGUGUGUGUGUGUUUGUGGAGGUGUAGGUAUACGCACAGAAAAAAUUUAAUAUAGAAAUGCCCCGUGAUGAAAGAUUAUGACUUGUACUUUUAUAUUUGGAAGCAAAAAACGUUCUCAACUUUUAAAGACAGAGCAGAGAUACAUAAAUGUUCCAAAGAGGGGAAAAAGCUAGAGGAGGAAGUACAACUCAUGCUGUAUGAAUAAAAAAAAACAAUAAUAAAAAAUGCAAUUAGGCUCCUUGUUACAAGCAUGAGCAUAAUAACGAUCCCCUGGUUUAAAUGCAUUAACAGUCUUGCUCGACUUCUAAAAGCAUAUGAAAGCAUAUAUGACUGUUCAGAAUCUAUGAUGCCUGAACAAUAAUUAAAGCAAUUAACAACUCAAAAUUUGAAUCCAAUUAAUUACAUUAUAUUUUGAUAAAUCACAUAUCAAAUUUGCUGGCACUAAAUCACACUAAAUUAACAUUAAAUUGACAGCUUUGCAAAUGAAAUGAGUAAAUGUGCUGUAAUUCUUUUAAAAUAUAGAUUUAAACGCAUUGUUCUUUUCAUCAUUUACCUUCAUUUCAAAUCCAAAUCACAUUAAAGAAGAUAUUUAGAAGAACGUCCAAGCUUCUCUUUUCCUUAUAAUGAAAGUGAAUGGUGAUCACGACUGUCCCUGGUCUCCAUUCACUUUCAUUAAAACAGCAGCUUGGGCAUCCUGCUAAAUAUCUACUUUUGUGUUCCACAGAAGAAAUAAAGUCAUAUGGGUUUGGAAUGACAUGGGAGUGAGUAAAUGAUGACAGAAUGUUCAUUUACAAGUAAAAUAUUCUUGUUAAAAUAUCUCAAAUGUUUUGCUUAUUAUGAAUGCAAAUACACACACACAUUAUGUUAGGGUGGGGCGAGGGGGAUGAAAUGCGAAAGCCUGUUUUGUAUCCAGGCGGUAAUGACCUAUAUGGUCAUAGACCCCAACUGAUGGAGCGGUGAGUGGGUGGAUGACGUCAGAGUGGUCUUGGCCUAGCAGGUCUGUCCCGCUGAGGUGUCGGGUCUGGACAGGCUCACACAGCCAACAGCUUGAGCAGCCACUGCACAAAGACCAGAGAAAUGAUUCAGGGAACGUGCUGUGCACAUUAUUAAUGAAUAUACCCUUAUAUUAUACAUACAUGGUAUAGAUAUUUACGUAACCAUAAACUGAUAGUUCUCCUAAAAAUCUUCAUUCUAUCAUCAUUUAUUCACACUUAUGUUAAUCCAAAUAUGUGCGACUUUCUUUCUUCAGUGGAACAUAAAAGAUAUUUUGGUGUCCACUUACUUUCCUAUUCAAAACAUUUCUCAAAAUAUUAUCUUUUGCGUUCUAAAGAUGAAAUAAAGUUAUACAGCUUCGAAAAUUACUAGAGGGUGAGUAAAUGGCAGAAUUUUCAUUUUUGUUCAAAAUAUCUCUUUAAAUGUCACUAUUCAAACCUUUUCUAGGUACUGAAGAAAUUGAAAUAGGAGUUUUUGUGGCUUUUUAAUUUUUAUUUAUUUAUUUAGUUAAUUAUUUCUAAUUUAAUUUAAUAUUAAUAAUAUACAUUUAAAAUGACACUUCUUGUUUCCUGUACCUGUAAUUGCCUUUAACUUUAAUCUGGAAGAAACUUCUUGAGUAUAGCUGGACAUACAGUGAUGAUUUUUAAAAGUGUUAUUCAUUUUAACAUCAGUCAGAGGGAAAUCAGAGAUGGCUGUGGGAGAGACUGAAAUAAAUGAGCUGAUUUUGACAAACAAGAUCUUACAGCAUUGAUGCCCUUGUCCUUCACCUCUGGGUUGGUCUCCGACUCAAAAAGAUCUGAGGAGAAACAAUUGGCAAGCUGAAUUCUUCCAGUUAACAUGUUUACAGACUCUCACAUCUAUGCUAAUGACGUCAUGAACAUCUCGGGAGCUUUUAGGCAUGCCAGUAAACAGCAUGAUGAGAUGCAGUGAUACGCAAUUAUAUUUACUUUCACACUAGAAGCAGGUCGUGAUAACCAUAUGUAAAUGGGCAUAACAAAUACAAUCUAACAAAAAAUAAUAAAUAACUGGCUACCUAUAAUCAGAUGACACUUUAAAAGGUACACCUUUCUGAUAAUGAGUAACACAAAUCAUAAUUGAUAGCAUGAGUAGCGUUUUUGCAUUAACAGAUGAUUUUCUCUCCAACCACUUUUGAAUUCAUACAAAGAGAUGUAUCUGGUUCAUUUAUCAUUUUGCAGUGUGUGUGUGUGAUAUAAAGAGCGGCAUUUCAGGGCUUAAAGGAAUAGUUCACACAAAAAUGAAAAUUUACUGAAAAUUUAAUCAGGUCAUUCAAGAUGUAGAUGAGUUUGUUUCCUAAUCGGAACAAAUUUGGAGAAAUUUAGCAUUACAUCAACAGUUCCUCUGCAGUGAAUGGGUGC
Cyprinus carpio carpio is the source of this 4478-nucleotide long non-coding RNA. NCBI's taxonomy places the organism in Eukaryota, Metazoa, Chordata, Actinopteri, Cypriniformes, Cyprinidae. The record is from Ensembl.